AUUGAACGCUGGCGGCAUGCCUUACACAUGCAAGUCGAACGGCAGCGCGGCCUUCGGUCUGGCGGCGAGUGGCGAACGGGUGAGUAAUACAUCGGAACGUACCCUGUUGUGGGGGAUAACUAGUCGAAAGAUUAGCUAAUACCGCAUACGACCUUAGGGUGAAAGUGGGGGACCGCAAGGCCUCACGCAGCAGGAGCGGCCGAUGUCUGAUUAGCUAGUUGGUGGGGUAAAGGCCCACCAAGGCGACGAUCAGUAGCUAGUCUGAGAGGGCGAUCAGCCACACUGGGACUGAGACGCGGCCCAGACUCCUACGGGAGGCAGCAGUGGGGAAUUUUGGACAAUGGGGGCAACCCUGAUCCAGCAAUGCCGCGUGUGUGAAGAAGGCCUUCGGGUUGUAAAGCACUUUUGUCCGGAAAGAAAUCGCGCUGGUUAAUACCUGGCGUGGAUGACGGUACCGGAAGAAUAAGCACCGGCUAACUACGUG
Molecule: ribosomal RNA, 484 nt
Filed under: uncultured bacterium
Lineage: Bacteria
Description: partial 16S ribosomal RNA
Rfam family: Bacterial small subunit ribosomal RNA
Source: RNAcentral